RNAcentral lists this long non-coding RNA (2044 nucleotides) under Sus scrofa (pig). Its description in RNAcentral is "lncRNA (ENSSSCG00060033938.1)". The record is from RNAcentral. Lineage: Eukaryota; Metazoa; Chordata; Mammalia; Artiodactyla; Suidae.
GGGGCAAAACAAAUUGCUUGGCGCCCGCUUUGAUGGAGUCUACUUGGGAGCAGUGUUUCUAGGUUUUGGUGGCUGAAAAUAUAUGGUUACACUCAUUCUCUGAUAUUGAUAUGAUUAACUGCUUGUGAGUUCAUGAUGGAAAGCUCAUGGAGGAGACAAUUUUGAAAAGGUUUGUAGAUAUUAAACAGGUUGAGCUCUAGGGUUCUCGUGCAUUCAAGGGGAUAAAAAUGAAUAGAGUUGUCUGUCAUGCACAUCUUGUUGGGGGUAAUUGAAAAAAUAUGUAUGGUAGCUAGAUAAAAACUAUUGCAUCAGUUUGCGUCCAAAAUUUGAUGACUGUACUGUGGUUACAUAAGAGAAUGCCCUUAUUCUUAAGAAAUACUUAGGAAAUAAUAAGAGGUAAAGAGAAAUAUAAAAGAAUAACUCUUUAAAUGGUGCAGAAAAAAUAAAGAACAUAGACAUGCACGAUAGAAUGAUUUUUAAAAGUAUAGUUUAAAAUGUUUAAAAUUUAGUUUAAAAAUUUAUUUUACUUAGUAAGUAAAAUAUAUAUAGGCAUUUCAUAUAUUAUUAUUGUAAUUUUUCUAAAAAUUUGAAAUUACUACAGUUGAAAGAUUUUCUUAAAUAUAUGAGAGUUCCCAUCGUGGCGCAGUGGAAACAAAUCCAAAUAGGAACCAUGAGGUUGCGGGUUUGAUCCCUGGCCUCGCUCAGUGGGUUAAGGAUCUGGAUCUGCCGUGUGGGUCACAGAUGCGGCUUGGAUCUGGCGUUGCUGUGGCUGUGGUGUAGGCUUGCAGCCAUAGCUCCGAUUGGACCCCUAGCCACAUAUGCCGAGGGUGCGGCCCUAAAAAGCAAAAAAAAAAAAAAUUUUCUUAAAUAUAUGAUCAAAGAUUUUAAUAAUUUAGACUUUUCUUUGUCCAGUUCGUUUGAAUUGCUAAGAAAUGGCUCUAAUCUGUUAAGUAACACCCUGAAGGGGGGCUGCAAAAAACUCCCAUGCUGAUGCCACAUAGUCCCUAUGGGUGAAUCACAUACCAGAAAUAUCUGUUGUGUAAUUCUACUGGGCCUCCUGCCUUCUAUAAAUUUGAGGGCAUCUAUCCGAGAAGAAAAGCAGAACUUUCCUGCUACUUAAGUCUGGAAUGAAAGAGAGCAAAUCAAGUGGAAAUGUCAAUGGGGAAGUCCAGGUCAACUAUAAUUCCCAUUAUGACUAAGUGGCAUAAAGACUCAGAGUACAGUGACCGAGAGCUGACCUCGGGAGAACUCACAGUCAGAUCAGGAUUGCUCAUUUCCAGGAUUCUUUAUAAGAUUGACUCUGCCCUUUGUAAAUCUUACUAUUUACAAUGAACACAAACCUAGGUCACUACAUACAUUUCAUUCUUCCAGAUAAAUAUGCAGCACAGCAUGUUUCUCAGGUCUGCAUAAGUGUUUAUAUAUUCUUAAGAAAUGUAAGUUCAGAUAGAGAAACAACUUACCAAGUACAAAGAGAAGGUACAUGAUCAUUUUAUUUAUUUAUUUAUUAGUUUUUUGUCUUUUUGCCUUUUCUAGGGCUGCUUCUGCGGCAUACGGAGGUUCCCAGGCUAGGGGUCGAAUCAAAGCUGUAGCUGCCGGCCUACGCCAGAGCCACAGCAAUGAGGGAUCUGAGCCUCGGCUGCAACUUACACACAGCUCAUGGCAACACCGGAUCCCUAACCCACUGAGCAAGGCCAGGGAUCGAACCCGCAACCUCACGGUUCCUAGUUGGAUUCGUCAACCACUGCGCCACGACAGGAACUCCUACAUGAUCAUUUUAAAUAUGAGUGUCAGACUAAAAAUCUUGUAUGUUCAUUAGCUGCCUUGGAUUUCUUAGCUCUGGAAAAUAGCGUAUUCUUCAAAGGCUACCAAUUUUCAUUAACUGGGAAGUAGAAACAACAUUGAUUUCCUUCAAACCUGUUCAAAAGGCAGGCAUACUUUGAAGUGAAAAAAAGAAAUAUUAGAAGAUGUCUGACAUUCUUCUCAUAGCCCCUGGGCUCCCUAAUAUUUUAUACUACAGCAUUAUUCACAGUAAAAAAAAAAAAAA